This 1505-nucleotide unclassified non-coding RNA is filed under the name uncultured fungus. RNAcentral's name for it is "sequence contains 18S rRNA gene, ITS1, 5.8S rRNA gene, ITS2, 28S rRNA gene". The stretch from base 570 to 1505 matches the Rfam family "Eukaryotic large subunit ribosomal RNA", at positions 1 to 961 of the family's 3401-position model. Lineage: Eukaryota; Fungi. The record is from RNAcentral.
GGAAGGAUCAUUAACAAAACAAACAACAACACAACCCUGUUGAAAUGCGAUGCCUUUCCCGCGAGAGCGGGGAGGGAAUUUUAAAACAUGCCACUUUUAAAAAAGACACGCUUAGAAAUAGUAGUAGUAGUAAUACGAAUGAAUGUCUAAACAACUUUUAACAAUGGAUCUCUUGGCUCUUGCAACGAUGAAGAACGCAGCAAAAUGCGAAAAGUAUUGUGACAUGCAAUCUUCGUGAAUCAUUGAAUUUUUGAACGCACCUUGCACCACCUGGCCCUGUCAGGUGGUAUACUUGUUUGAGUAUCACAACCACGUCACGCCUCCUCCUUGCGGGGGGGCGUGGACCUGAGCGAUCGAGACGGCCGAAGGGCUUCUUGGGCCGGAACGUCGCUCCAAAUCGAGGCCCCUGUUGUGGCGCUGCAGCGCGCAGGCUCACGGUCUACUACUGGGAUAACAUCCAACAACAACAACAGCAGUAGACGGCGAGGCGGCACGCAUCAUGCACGCUCCAGCAGAGGGCAAAAGGUCCACCCGAGGGGGGACACAAGGCGCGCAAGCAGCCUCCACAAAGAUCUCAAAUCAAGCAAGAACACCCGCUGAACUUAAGCAUAUCAGUAAGCGGAGGAAAAGAAACUAACAAGGAUUCCCUCAGUAACGGCGAGUGAAGCGGGAAAAGCUCAAAUUUAAAAUCUGGCAGCACCGCUGUCCGAAUUGUAUUUGAAAGAGCUGUCUUGGCACGGAGGGGGCGGCCCAAGUCCUCUGGAAAGAGGCAUCAAAGAGGGUGAAAGUCCCGUCCAGGCCGCCGUCCAAGGUCACAUCAAGACAGCUCAAAGAGUCGGGUUGUUUGGGAAUGCAGCCCAAAAGGGGUGGUACGUUUCAUCUAAGGCUAAAUACAGGCGAGAGACCGAUUUAGCGAACAAGUACCGUGAGGGAAAGAUGAAAAGAACUUUGAAAAGAGAGUUAAAUAGUACGUGAAAUUGUUAAAAGGGAAACGAUUGAGGCCAGUGAUGCGGGACCCAUUUCAGCCUAGCCUGUGGGGUAGGUGUAUUAUGGGGCCGCAGGUCAGCGGCCAUUCCAAGCCAGGGACAAGACAGGGGGAAAGGUGGCUCUACUUGUAGACGCUUUAUAGGCCCCCUGGGAUACCUGGGUCGGGAUGGAUGCGCAACGCGAGCUGACGAAAUGGCCUCAAACGACCCGUCUUGAAACACGGACCAAGGAGUCUAACAACUAUGCGAGUAUUCGAGUGGCAAACUCGGCUGCGUAAAGAAACUGAAUGCGUGGGAGCAGGGCGCGUGCUCUGUGCACCAUGGGCCGGUCCUUGUCGCGACUUGGAUUGAGCUGGAGCAUAGCUGCUGGGACCCGAAAGAUGGUGAACUAUGCCUGAAUAGGGUGAAGCCAGAGGAAACUCUGGUGGAGGCUCGUAGCGAUUCUGACGUGCAAAUCGAUCGUCAAAUUUGGGUAUAGGGACGAAAGACUAAUCGAACCAUCUAGUAGCUGGUUCCCUC